GUUUUAAUAGUUUAAAUAUAAAAUAUUGGUCUUGUAAACCAAAGUUAAGAACUUCUCUUUUAAAACU
RNAcentral lists this transfer RNA (67 nucleotides) under Tegra novaehollandiae viridinotata. Its description in RNAcentral is "tRNA-Thr". It matches the Rfam family "tRNA". From Rfam's summary of the family: Transfer RNA (tRNA) molecules are approximately 80 nucleotides in length. Their secondary structure includes four short double-helical elements and three loops (D, anti-codon, and T loops). The record is from RNAcentral. Lineage: Eukaryota; Metazoa; Arthropoda; Insecta; Orthoptera; Tettigoniidae.